CCCUUAGGACAAGGGUGCGCUCACGAACCGUGUCAGGUCCGGAAGGAAGCAGCACUAAGUCUGAUGCAUCUUGUGUCCUAAGUUUGA
Molecule: non-coding RNA, 87 nt
Rfam family: Bacterial small signal recognition particle RNA
About the family: The signal recognition particle (SRP) is a universally conserved ribonucleoprotein involved in the co-translational targeting of proteins to membranes.
Source: Rfam